Molecule: long non-coding RNA, 1555 nt
Organism: Aotus nancymaae (Ma's night monkey)
Lineage: Eukaryota; Metazoa; Chordata; Mammalia; Primates; Aotidae
Source: Ensembl
GUCCGGGAGCCACACACUGGUGCCGCCUGAGACCCAGCGGGCCGACCCCCUGGUGUGUGCCGUGGGCAUGCUGGGCUCUGCCAUCUUCAUCUGCCUGAUCUUCGUGGCUGCCAAGAGCAGCAUUGUAGGGGCCUAUGUGAGUGCGUUGUGGGGAGGGGUGCUGGGGGAGCUGGGCCUGGACCAUGGAAGGGUCUGGAAUGGGAAAUUCCAUCUGACUUGUGGGACGGUCCCUUGCCUAUGUGAGUGCGUUGUGGGGAGGGGUGCUGGGGGAGCUGGGCCUGGACCAUGGAAGGGUCUGGAAUGGGAAAUUCCAUCUGACUUGUGGGAGGCUCCUGUUCUCUGGCUGCCUGUGCGCAUCCCUGGCCUGUUGGGGCCUCUGGGUGCCUCGGGGCAGUGGGCAUGGCUUGAAGUCUCUGGACGGCCCACGAAUGGAUGUGGGCCUGGGAGGGGGGAUGAGGUUUUGUGGGCUCCCUGCCAGCAGCCAGUGUGUAGGGAGCAGCCUGUGGCCACUGCAGGGGGAGGGUCCCCUGAUGAUUGCUUUGCUCUUUCCUGGGCAGAUCUGUAUCUUCGUCGGGGAGACACUGCUGUUUUCCAACUGGGCCAUCACUGCCGACAUCCUCAUGUACGUGGUCAUCCCCACCCGGCGUGCCACGGCUGUGGCCUUGCAGAACUUCACCUCCCACCUGCUGGGGGACGCCGGGAGCCCCUACGUCAUUGGCUUUAUCUCAGACCUGAUCUGCCAGAGCACCAAGGACUCCUCGCUCUGGGAGUUCCUGAGCCUGGGCUACGUGCUCAUGCUCUGCCCCUUCGUCGUGGUCCUGGGGGGCAUGUUCUUCCUCGCCAUGGUGCUCUUCUUCCUCAGCGACCGUGCCAAGGCUGAGCAGCAGUGAGUGGGGCUGAGGGGAGGCCUGCUGGGGAGCCCUGCUCGGGGGUGGCGGAGAGGAGACCUGGGUGCACCCAGUGGGUGGCCUGGUUGCUGGGGUCCAGCCCCUGGGCCUCCCCGCACCUGUGGGGCUCAGUGCCAGCAUUGGCCUGGAGCUGUGGGGGGCCACAGGGGUGUCUGGUGGGUCCAGGCUUGGACUUGGUGGUUUUCGAAGCUGGGACCCCUCCCCAUUCCUUUUCCUCUCACCUUCUGACUUCUUUCUCCUUUCCUCUUUACUCCUCUCUCUCCUCUCCCCACCCCUGGGCUCUCCCACCUCCCCCUGGGGCUGACGAGGUCCCUGCCCAGCACCUCCGGUCAGCUGGCCCCCACAACGCGAUGUGCCAGAGCAGUGCCCGGGCCCGGCCCCUGCUGAUGCGUCACCCUGACUCCCGCCCAUCUCUCCCUCAGGGUGAACCAGCUGGUGAUGCCGCCCGAAUCUGUGAAAGUCUGAGGUGGUGAGUGCAGGCAGAGAGGCCCUCGGGAAGGGGGAAGGCCAGGGCUAGGUGACAGGGAGCACUCUUCCUCCCGAGUCCCCUCCUGCCCCAGCACCUCCCAUCAACCCUGGGCUUGGACUCUGAUGUUGCGAGAAUUCACUGAUGGAGCCAUGGGUCAGGGCUCCUGCUUCCAGUAAUA